GCCUGGGUGGCUCAGCUGGUAAAGUGUCUGACUCUUGAUUUACAGCUCAGGUCAUGAUCUCAGGGUCGUGAGAUCAAGUCCCACCUCAGGCC
RNAcentral lists this transfer RNA (92 nucleotides) under Canis lupus familiaris (dog). It matches the Rfam family "tRNA". From Rfam's summary of the family: Transfer RNA (tRNA) molecules are approximately 80 nucleotides in length. Their secondary structure includes four short double-helical elements and three loops (D, anti-codon, and T loops). Lineage: Eukaryota; Metazoa; Chordata; Mammalia; Carnivora; Canidae. RNAcentral also lists the same sequence under 1 other name. The record is from Rfam by way of RNAcentral.